GACGAACGCUGGCGGCGUGCUUAACACAUGCAAGUCGAACGCUGAACCCGCUUCGGUGGGGGAUGAGUGGCGAACGGGUGCGUAACACGUGGGCAACCUGCCCCCGGCUCUGGGAUAACUCCAAGAAAUUGGGGCUAAUACCGGCUGUGACCGCUGGCCGCAUGGUCUGGUGGUGGAAAGGGUUUCCGGCUGGGGAUGGGCCCGCGGCCUAUCAGCUUGUUGGUGGGGUAGUGGCCUACCAAGGCGACGACGGGUAGCCGGCCUGAGAGGGUGACCGGCCACACUGGGACUGAGAGACGGCCCAGACUCCUACGGGAGGCAGCAGUGGGGAAUAUUGCGCAAUGGGCGGAAGCCUGACGCAGCGACGCCGCGUGGGGGAUGACGGCCUUCGGGUUGUAAACCUCUUUCAGCAGGGACGAAGCGCAAGUGACGGUACCUGCAGAAGAAGCACCGGCCAACUACGUG
RNAcentral lists this ribosomal RNA (465 nucleotides) under uncultured bacterium. RNAcentral describes it as "partial 16S ribosomal RNA". It matches the Rfam family "Bacterial small subunit ribosomal RNA", at positions 28 to 507 of the family's 1533-position model. The record is from RNAcentral.